GGUCGGAUUCCGAACUAGGUCGGGUUUUGACCCAUGAGCACUCAUCUUCCCUUCAAAUUCUAGGGCCAGACUCAUCACAUGAUAUACACUCCCUGGUUUAUGUAUGCGCACAUCAGAAUGCAACUCGGCCUUCAAGCCGCUUAAGAAAACACUGAAGAAAUAAUGCUCUAGCCAAUUUUUUACUCUGGUCGAAUGUUUAGAGAACUCUUGCUGGUAUUCUUGCACGGAGCCGAUUUGUCUGAUGCUGCAGAGAUGUUCAUUAGGAUUCUGGUAUUUAGGUGGACCAUAGUUUUCUUGUGGCACAGUCACCAAUUCUUCCCAAUAUAACAAGUUAAUUCGUCUUCGCCGGUCAUCUAAGGCCUCUACUUUUUUGUGAAGCAAGUCAAGCUUCUCAAUUCGUGAUGCAAUAGUAGCCAAAUGGUCUGGUGUAGUUUGGCUGAGAUUUUCUGAAUUUUCGAUAUCUGAAGGUGUGUUGUUGGAUAAGUGGGCAAGAGGGCUGACAGAUUCAUUCCCAAUGCGUGUGGUAACCAUGGUUAACUAGACUUUGAUGUUAAAUUAAUAGUGCUCAAAAUAAUAAUAAAAAAAUAAUAAUAAAAUAAAUUUCUUAAAAUAAUAUAGAAUAAAAAUUUUAUCCUAUAUUUUUUUCAAUAAUCAUCUUUAGAAGUUUAAGGAAUUAUUUUAUUUGAAUUGUUAGUUAUAUUUAUAAAGAUAAAUAUAAAUAAAAUUUAGAUAAUUAAAUAAUGAAAGAUUAAAUAAAAUUUAAAUUUAAAUAAGAUUUAAAUUUAAAUAAAAACUAAAUAUUUAAAUGAAAUCUCUUAACAAAUAAAUUUUUUUAAAUAAUAUUCAAACAAAAUAAUAAAAUUUAAUUUAGUUUAUCUUUUAUUAUUAUUUUUUGAAUAAGUUUUUAAGAGAAUAUUAUCAAAAACACUGGAUCUAGUAAGUCGGUCCACUGUUCACUGAUUCCUCAAGUACAGGUGUCAAUGUGCAUGUCACUCCUCCAGUUCUUCGCUAUCAUAAGCGAAGCUUCUCUGAUCUGCUGGACGGUUCUGAUUCAACUUGUGAGUAUCCAAAUAAACGAUCUAACUUUGAUUUGGAUCUUCAUUCUGCGUCGUUGGAUCAUAAGCUUUCUUCACCGCAAGCACAGGUGUCUUCACGUGGAAAGGACCUCAUUUACUUAACUACGGCAGGCUUCAAGUUUUUCACUCCACUCUUUUAAUUCAGCAAUUACCCAUGUCUACACUUCAUAAUUGCUCUAUCAGUCCUUUCUUCCCAAAAGACCAAUUGUCCCGCUCAGUGACGAAUCCAAGGGGGCGCCAGCAGGGGCUGUGGCCUCCCCACCAUGUUUCAAAAUUUCGUUUGUAAAUGGUGAGUUAAUUUUUAUAAAAAAAAAUUGCUAAAAUCACCUUUAGGUCCCCACUUUUAAAUAAACUUUUAGUUAUAGCCCCCCAUAAAACAAUUUCUGGAUUAGUCCCUGGUCUCGCUACAUACCUCUUUCAGAGCAGACCCUGCUACUUUUAGUGCAUGAGUGGAGACGUCAUGAGGUAUUCUAGGCUCGUUGAGAUUUGGACAUUAUCGUUGAGCAUAAUACUUGCAUGCGCAGACAUCGAGUUCACAUUCACGGUCGUCAACGCCUUCGAGUUGGAUCAAGAUGCUUGUUAGAACCGCGUUUCACAUGGGCAAGCUGGUUUUAUGGCAUUCUUUGAAGUUAUGGUUCAUUAACCUGAACUGGGAAGCAAACGGACGUCAACAUUAUCCCCCUGUUCAGCAUUGUUUGAAUGGAUUUUGGCCAUUGCUUCCUCAUCUGCGCGCAAAGCCGCCAAGAAAUAGGCGCAGACCUCUCCUCAUCCAUAAUUUCUGGCAUGAAGCUCACAUUCGCGUUUUUCCAGUUGUAGGUCAUACAUACUAUGAUUUCAUGCAUGUGGAAGCUCUUGAUGGUGGACAUCCCAACUUAUCUCAUAUCACUUCCAAUGGUUUUAUUCAGCAUGCAGUUUCGGAUCCUCCUGUCCGUUCUCCUUCACCGUCAACAUCUUUACCUUAAGGUCUGGUUGAGCUUGGUUUUGUUUCAGCAUGUUUUCAUCAUCAAAGCUUAAGCGCAAGAUUGCUCUGCUCCAUUCUGAUGAAACAGAGGAAGCCGUUGCAACUGGGUUUUUCGAGGUUUUGGCCAAAACACCUCGUACCUUUGCAUGACUAACGUAGGGGCCUUCAUGGAUGCAGCAUCAUGGAGGUCCCACCAAAGGAACUGCAACUGUUAGGAAGUUAUAUUUUUACUUUCGUCUAGUUGGUCUGUCUGUUUUUGUUGUCGUCUGUUUGGUCGUCUAUUUUCGUUUGUCUGCUUUUAGUUCCUUCAUCUGGGUUUGUCUUCAUCUGGUUCAUGCACGUAAGUUUUUAAAAGUUCCAAAGCUUUUUGAUAGGCUUGGUCUUUCAAAUCCUACGGGAUAUUUUCCUGCAUCUUGAUCUUUUCUCUUUUUAGAGAUUUUUUCCAUGUGUUGCUUGCUAAUCCUUCAAAAAUGUCUUAUGGACCUACCUUCGGAUUGGAUGAACCUGGUUUGGGCAUAUCUAAUCAAGGAGCAGCUGUGUUUCUGGUUUAUUUGGUUUCAUUUUCUAAAGUUCCGUUUUUGUUGGUCCUCAUUAGUAAUACUUUUAGAUUGGGCUUUCA
Long non-coding RNA from Prosopis cineraria, 2656 nucleotides. RefSeq lists it as uncharacterized. The transcript is spliced from 2 exons. Lineage: Eukaryota; Viridiplantae; Streptophyta; Magnoliopsida; Fabales; Fabaceae. The record is from RefSeq and is a predicted model, not a curated record.